RNAcentral lists this ribosomal RNA (465 nucleotides) under uncultured Klebsiella sp. RNAcentral's name for it is "bacterial SSU rRNA". It matches the Rfam family "Bacterial small subunit ribosomal RNA", at positions 338 to 795 of the family's 1533-position model. The record is from RNAcentral. Lineage: Bacteria; Pseudomonadati; Pseudomonadota; Gammaproteobacteria; Enterobacterales; Enterobacteriaceae.
CCUACGGGUGGCAGCAGUGGGGAAUAUUGCACAAUGGGCGCAAGCCUGAUGCAGCCAUGCCGCGUGUGUGAAGAAGGCCUUCGGGUUGUAAAGCACUUUCAGCGGGGAGGAAGGCGUUAAGGUUAAUAACCUUGUCGAUUGACGUUACCCGCAGAAGAAGCACCGGCUAACUCCGUGCCAGCAGCCGCGGUAAUACGGAGGGUGCAAGCGUUAAUCGGAAUUACUGGGCGUAAAGCGCACGCAGGCGGUCUGUCAAGUCGGAUGUGAAAUCCCCGGGCUCAACCUGGGAACUGCAUUCGAAACUGGCAGGCUAGAGUCUUGUAGAGGGGGGUAGAAUUCCAGGUGUAGCGGUGAAAUGCGUAGAGAUCUGGAGGAAUAGCGGUGGCGAAGGCGGCCCCCUGGACAAAGACUGACGCUCAGGUGCGAAAGCGUGGGGAGCAAACAGGAUUAGAUACCCUUGUAGUC